RNAcentral lists this ribosomal RNA (443 nucleotides) under uncultured bacterium. RNAcentral's name for it is "partial 16S ribosomal RNA". It matches the Rfam family "Bacterial small subunit ribosomal RNA", at positions 338 to 795 of the family's 1533-position model. The record is from RNAcentral.
CCUACGGGUGGCAGCAGUGGGGAAUAUUGGGCAAUGGGCGCAAGCCUGACCCAGCAACGCCGCGUGAAGGAAGAAGGCUUUCGGGUUGUAAACUUCUUUUCUGAGGGACGAAGAAAGUGACGGUACCUCAGGAAUAAGCCACGGCUAACUACGUGCCAGCAGCCGCGGUAAUACGUAGGUGGCAAGCUUUAUCCGGAUUUAUUGGGUGUAAAGGGUGUGUAGGCGGGAUAGCAAGUCAGAUGUGAAAACUCAGGGCUCAACCCUGAACCUGCAUUUGAAACUGUUUUUCUUGAGUGCUGGAGAGGCAAUCGGAAUUCGGUGUGUAGCGGUGAAAUGCGUAGAUAGACGGAGGAACACCAGUGGCGAAGGCGGAUUGCUGGACAGUAACUGACGCUGAGGCGCGAAAGCGUGGGGAGCAAACAGGAUUAGAUACCCGAGUAGUC